GCUGGGCAUGGUGGCGCAUGCCUGUAAUCCCAGCUACUUGGGAGGCUGAGGCAGGAGAAUCCCUUGAACCUGGGAGGUUGCAGUGAGCCGAGAUUGUGCCACUGCACUCCAGCCUAGAUGACAAAGUGAGACUCUGUUUUUU
Unclassified non-coding RNA from Pongo abelii (Sumatran orangutan), 142 nucleotides. It matches the Rfam family "Metazoan signal recognition particle RNA". From Rfam's summary of the family: The signal recognition particle (SRP) is a universally conserved ribonucleoprotein. NCBI's taxonomy places the organism in Eukaryota, Metazoa, Chordata, Mammalia, Primates, Hominidae. The record is from Ensembl.